This 1804-nucleotide long non-coding RNA is filed under the name Daucus carota (carrot). Its description in RNAcentral is "long non-coding RNA (DCAR_LNC007291)". Lineage: Eukaryota; Viridiplantae; Streptophyta; Magnoliopsida; Apiales; Apiaceae. The record is from RNAcentral.
UUGGAAUAGAAAGAGACGUUGAUAAGAUGUGAAACUAUUGAUUUGGAAUAAAAUACUAAGUUAUUUAUUUUGUAUAUUAGAAGCAAUUUACUCGGGAAUCAAGCUGAGUAUCAAACCCGGAAUCAAGAAUUGUAUUUCAGAGGAGAUCAGGCAAGUUCACUUAAUCCUUCCUUUGAUGUGCUCAUGAUGUGCAAAUAUUUGUCGAACGUGAUUUCAUUUGAUAUUUAUAUCUGUGUUUGAAUCCCGAUAUUUUGACAUGUAUUGGAAUAUACGAGAAGAUCGGGGAUAGACGGAUACUAGAAGAUUUGACAUUCGUUCAGAAUAUUAUUCAAACAAUUUUCUACAUUACUGAGUCCACCUAUUGUUCAGGAUGACUCAUUAUUUUGUAAAAUCAAAAAUAUCAUCAAUUUCCAAAUCUUUAACGUAUCACUCCCUUUUGAGAUGAUUACCCUAUUUUGUAAUCUUUAUUUCGUUACAGAAGUUCAUAUUCGAUAUUUAAUUCUAACCUUGCUCAUAUUCGAAAAGUCUUGUUCAUAUCUUUGAGUUAUUAUAUCAAUGCAAGAAUGACUCAGUAGAAUUUCUAAGCCUUGAUCAUUCGCUAAUAUCGAAAUUUUAAUUGUCGAGACCCUGAACUUUGAUUCGUCUUUCUUACGAAGUUGUAUGAUUCUAAUGUUUUCUUCAGAUAAUUGAUUAUUCUUUCUAUACACUCUAAAGGGGAUAAUUUGCUUGAUUAUUGAGUUCCCCUCCUAGUUUCUUAUUCUUGUUCAAUCUGUUAAACUUCUAUUCUUUUAUUCGUACUGUGAUUAAUUGAUUUUAUACAAGGAUCAUUAACCAUGUUCGGUUCUAUGUUAUUGUUCUUGGGAUGUUGUGAUCGGAUUACCGUUUCUCCGUAAUCCGGCCGAGAGGUAUUUAAUUCUGAAUUUUGAGGAUGCAUUUGUUCGCAUUCUUGUAAGAAAGGGGAAGUUUUAUUCAAUGUGAAGUGAGCCAAUUUGUACUCGGGGAAUGAAUUUCAUAAACUGGUCAACACGAAUGAUUUGCAUUCGUGGAAGAGUGGAAAUAUCUGUUGGCCCUAUGUGUGGGACAACUUUAAGGGUUGAAAAUGAUAACCCUUAUGCUAGCAAAUAAAUGGGGGAAACUGUGUGGCGCCAUUCGAAAGUCGCGAUCAGACUGCGAAGGUGACACGGGGUGGUAUCUACUUAGUGGCGGUGAUCGAGCCAUAUGGUGGAACCAUCAAGGAUGGAGACCAGUAUUAUUAUUAUUCUUUGAUUUCUUGAGUUCAAUAUGUGAUUAUCUACAACUCUCAUUUUGAAUUUGCUUAAUUGUUAUAUCUGCUUAAAUUCCCUUAUAUAAUCUGUGAUGUUUGCACUUGAACUGUGAACUUGCUGAGCAUUCAAAUGCUCAUACUUGCAACUCUUUAUUUCCUUUAAACAGUAUAGACAGAGAAUGGCACAAAUGAGAAGGAUAAUCCGGAAGCAUAUAACAGCAAAGUCAAAGGCAAAACGUGAGGCUGUGGCAAACGAAGGGUGCGAAGACUUGUUCCCGUAACGAGGAUGUUUGUGAUAAUUAUAGAAGUACUAGUUUGUACUCUUGAACUUAUCUUUUUAAUGAUAUGAUGGACUGUGUGGAAGUGUAAGAUCGACCCUGGACUUGUGGGGCGAGUUAUGUAACGUAAGACAGGUAUGCUAAAAUAGUGUGACGGCCUAGAUCCGGGAUAUACGGAUCUGGGGGCGUUACAGAUUUGGUAUCAGAGCUAUAGUUAUAUUCUUAGGACACGGGAACCCUAGGAAUACAACGAGAGAGUAAG